CGAUAAGCAAAUCACAUUGCACAGUACUGUCAUGACUAAUCAGUCUCAAAUCAAGUAUUGCCGGAUAGCCGACCAUACUCCUUCAAGGUGACAAACUUUUUGGCUGGAGCUGUACAUUAGCCAUUGGUCUAUAAUCAGAACUCCUUGAGUCUGCUGUAGUAUUCCCCAUUAAAUAGAAAAUAUGAAUCAUAAUAUAUUAAAUGAACAAAAUCCUGAAGAUCUUAGUGAAAAGCCCAAAAAACUGGUGCUUUUAGACAAAGUUACAUACGACUCGUUUCUGGAGGGAUAUAUUGAGCAGACAAGCCUGAGACAAGUGAUGACAAACCCCACUAAGAAGCUAGCGGCUAUAGUAGAUAAAAUAACCAAACAUAACCAUUUUCCAUCAAUUUUGAUGCAGCAGAAAGUAAGUGCACCAGCAUGUCCAAGAUUGUUCGCAUAUUAGAAAACAAAGAAGCCCUGGACGGCGGAUAGGUGGGUAAACAAC
RNAcentral lists this long non-coding RNA (484 nucleotides) under Androctonus crassicauda. Lineage: Eukaryota; Metazoa; Arthropoda; Arachnida; Scorpiones; Buthidae. The record is from RNAcentral.